This 483-nucleotide ribosomal RNA is filed under the name uncultured bacterium. Its description in RNAcentral is "partial 16S ribosomal RNA". It matches the Rfam family "Bacterial small subunit ribosomal RNA", at positions 30 to 507 of the family's 1533-position model. The record is from RNAcentral.
AUUGAACGCUGGCGGAAUGCUUUACACAUGCAAGUCGAGCGGCAGCACGGGGGCAACCCUGGUGGCGAGCGGCGAACGGGUGAGUAAUACAUCGGAACAUGCCCAGUCGUGGGGGAUAACACUUCGAAAGAAGUGCUAAUACCGCAUACGUCCUGAGGGGGAAAGCGGGGGAUCGCAAGACCUCGCGCGAUUGGAGUGGCCGAUGUCAGAUUAGCUAGUUGGUGGGGUAAGGCCUACCAAGGCAACGAUCUGUAGCUGGUCUGAGAGGAUGAUCAGCCACACUGGGACUGAGACACGGCCCAGACUCCUACGGGAGGCAGCAGUGGGGAAUUUUGGACAAUGGGGGCAACCCUGAUCCAGCCAUUCCGCGUGAGUGAAGAAGGCCUUCGGGUUGUAAAGCUCUUUCGGCAGGAACGAAACGGUGAGCUCUAACAUAGCUUGCUAAUGACGGUACCUGAAGAAGAAGCACCGGCUAACUACGUG